This 406-nucleotide ribosomal RNA is filed under the name uncultured bacterium. RNAcentral's name for it is "partial 16S ribosomal RNA". It matches the Rfam family "Bacterial small subunit ribosomal RNA", at positions 30 to 526 of the family's 1533-position model. The record is from RNAcentral.
AUUGAACGCUAGCGGCAGGCUUAACACAUGCAAGUCGAGCGAGCGGCGGACGGGUGAGUAAUGUAUGGGACAAUGCAUGGUGGCGGGGGAUAACUACUGGAAAAGGUAGCUAAUACCGCAUACCAUCAGAUGUGCCCAGAUGGGAUUAGCUAGUAGGUGGGGUAAUGGCUCACCUAGGCGACGAUCCCUAGAUGGUCUGAGAGGAUGACCAGCCACACUGGAACUGAGACACGGUCCAGACUCCUACGUGAGGCAGCAGUGGGGAAUAUUGCACAAUGGGCGCAAGCCUGAUGCAGCCAUGCCGCGUGUGUGAAGAAGGCCUUCGGGUUGUAAAGCACUUUCAGCGAGGAGGCGUUACUCGCAGAAGAAGCACCGGCUAACUCCGUGCCAGCAGCCGCGGUAAUUC